UACGGGAGGCAGCAGUGGGGAAUAUUGCACAAUGGGCGCAAGCCUGAUGCAGCCAUGCCGCGUGUAUGAAGAAGGCCUUCGGGUUGUAAAGUACUUUCAGUCGUGAGGAAGGUGUUAAGGUUAAUAACCUUAGCAAUUGACGUUAGCGACAGAAGAAGCACCGGCUAACUCCGUGCCAGCAGCCGCGGUAAUACGGAGGGUGCGAGCGUUAAUCGGAAUUACUGGGCGUAAAGGGCACGCAGGCGGUUAAUUAAGUUGGAUGUGAAAUCCCCGGGCUUAACCUGGGAAUGGCAUUCAAGACUGGUUAGCUAGAGUCUUGUAGAGGGGGUAGAAUUCCAUGUGUAGCGGUGAAAUGCGUAGAGAUGUGGAGGAGUACCGGUGGCGAAGGCGGCCCCUGGGACAAAGACUGACGCUCAUGUGCGAAAGCGUGGGGAGCGAAACAGGAUUAGAUACC
RNAcentral lists this ribosomal RNA (454 nucleotides) under uncultured bacterium. Its description in RNAcentral is "bacterial SSU rRNA". It matches the Rfam family "Bacterial small subunit ribosomal RNA", at positions 340 to 786 of the family's 1533-position model. The record is from RNAcentral.